GGAGGGAAAACUCAGGGAACUGAAACAUCUAAGUACCUGAAGGAAAAGAAAGUAAGAACGAUUUUCUGAGUAGUGGCGAGCGAAAGGGAAGGAGCCCAAACCGACGAUAGUCGGGGUAAUAGGGCCGUCGAUAAAGCUGAAAAGGAAGGUAGUCAAAAUAACUGGGAAGUUAUGCCGGAGAGGGUGAAAGCCCCGUAGACGAAACCGGAUAAGGAAGCGAGACGGACCCUGAGUACGGCGGGACACGAGGAAUCCAGCCGGAAGGAUCGAGGACCAUCUCGAAAGGCUAAAUACUAGGAUGUGACCGAUAGCGAAAGAGUACCGAGAGGGAAAGGUGAAAAGAACCCCGGGAGGGGAGUGAAAGAGAACCUGAAACCAGAUGCUUACAAGAAGUCAGAGCCCGUUAAGGGGUGAUGGCGUGCCUUUUGUAGAAUGAACCGGCGAGUUAUGAAUGCUGGCGAGGUUAAGAUGAAGAGUCGGAGCCGAAGCGAAAGCGAGUCUGAAGAGGGCGGAGAAGUCAGUAUUGAUAGACCCGAAACCGGGUGAUCUAGGCGUGAACAGGUUGAAGUUGAGGUAAAACUUGAUGGAGGACCGAACCGACCCCCGUUGAAACGUUGGCGGAUGAUUUGCGUCUAGCGGUGAAAUUCCAAACGAACCCGGAGAUAGCUGGUUCUCCCCGAAAUUGCUUUAGGGCAAGCGUGUCGCGAGAGAGAAGGUACCAUGAAGGUAGAGCACUGAAUAUGUGAUGGCCUCAACUAGAGGUACUGAGCAUAAUCAAACUGCGAAUGACAUGGGAACAGGCGAUGCAGUGAGACAUAGGGUGAUAAGGUCCUGUGUCAAGAGGGAAAGAGCCCAGACCGACAGCUAAGGUCCCAAAAUGGAUGCUAAGUGGAAAAGGAUGUGGGAAUGUCCAGACAACUAGGAGGUUGGCUCAGAAGCAGCCACCCUUUAAAGAGUGCGUAACAGCUCACUAGUCGAAUGAACCUGCGCCGAAAAUAUACCGGGGCUAAGCAUCAUACCGAAGCUAAGGACAGAAGGAUCUGUGGUAGGGGAGCGUUGCAGUGGCGAAGAAGCAUGACCGGAAGGACAUGUGGAGCAGCUGGAAGAGAGAAUGCCGGUGUGAGUAGCGGAACGAUGGUGAGAAUCCAUCGCACCGAAAACCCAAGGAUUCCAGAGGAAGGUUCGUCCGCUCUGGGAAAGUCGGGAACUAAGGCGAGGCCGAAAGGCGUAGUCGAAGGAUAACAGGCGGAAAAUCCUGUACUCCUCAGAGGAGUGAAUGGAGUGACGGAGAAGGCUAACCGGACACGCGGAUGGAAGAGCGUGGGCAAGCGAGGUAGCAGGGAUGGAUUAAAAGGCCAUUCUAAUAAUGUGAAGGCGUGAAGCGGAUGGAACGCAGCGAUGCAAGUACAGAAGAAGGUGAAGCCAGCUUCCAGGAAAAGCUCCUGGCUGAGAGACUGAGGACCCGUACCGAAAAUGGACACACAUGGGUGAGGAGAGAAUCCUAAGGUGAGCGAGAGAACUAUAGCUAAGGAACUCUGCAAAAUGACUCCGUAACUUCGGGAGAAGGAGUGCUCAUGAGAAUGAGCCGCAGAAAAACGGCCCAAGCGACUGUUUACCAAAAACAUAGCUAUCUGCAAAGUCGGAAGACGAAGUAUAGGUGGUGACGCCUGCCCGGUGCUGGAAGGUUAAGAGGAGAUGUCAGUUGAAAGACGAAGCAUUGAAUUGAAGCCCCAGUAAACGGCGGCCGUAACUAUAACGGUCCUAAGGUAGCGAAAUUCCUUGUCAGGUAAGUUCUGACCCGCACGAAAGGCGUAACGAUUUGGGCGCUGUCUCAGCUGUAGACUCGGUGAAAUCUUAGUACCUGUGAAGAUGCAGGUUACCCGCGACUAGACGGAAAGACCCCAUGGAGCUUCACUGUAGCUUGAUAUUGGACUCUGAUGCAUGAUGUACAGAAUAGGUGGGAGGCGAAGAGACGUGAACGCCAGUUUACGGAGAGCCGAGCGUGGGAUACCACCCCUGAUGUAUUGGAGUUCUAACCGGACCGGAAGGCAGGACGGGACAGUGUCAGGUGGGCAGUUUGACUGGGGCGGUCGCCUCCCAAAGAGUAACGGAGGCGCCCAAAGAUACCCUCAGGCUGGAUGGAAACCAGUCGCAGAGUGCAAAGGCAAAAGGGUGUUUGACUGCGAGACGGACAGGUCGAGCAGGGACGAAAGUCGGGCUUAGUGAUCCGGCGGUGCUGAAUGGAAAGGCCGUCGCUCAACGGAUAAAAGCUACCCUGGGGAUAACAGGCUGAUCUCCCCCAAGAGUUCACAUCGACGGGGAGGUUUGGCACCUCGAUGUCGGCUCAUCGCAUCCUGGAGCUGAAGUCGGUUCCAAGGGUUGGGCUGUUCGCCCAUUAAAGCGGUACGCGAGCUGGGUUCAGAACGUCGUGAGACAGUUCGGUCCCUAUCUGUCGUGGGCGCAGGAAGUUUGAGAAGAGCUGUCCUUAGUACGAGAGGACCGGGAUGGACAUACCAAUGGUGCACCAGUUGUCACGCCAGUGGCACAGCUGGGUAGCUAAGUAUGGAAGGAAUAAACGCUGAAGGCAUCUAAGCGUGAAAUCCCCUUCAAGAUGAGACUUCCCAACGCAAGUUAUAAGACCCCUUGAAGACGACAAGGAGAUAGGUCAGGAGUGGAAGUGCAGCGAUGCAUGGAGCGGACUGAUACUAAAAGGUCGAAGACUUAACCAA
This 2729-nucleotide ribosomal RNA is filed under the name Clostridiales bacterium CHKCI006. Its description in RNAcentral is "Bacterial large subunit ribosomal RNA". It matches the Rfam family "Bacterial large subunit ribosomal RNA". The record is from Rfam by way of RNAcentral. Lineage: Bacteria; Bacillati; Bacillota; Clostridia; Eubacteriales.